AGAUAUUUUUUUAUAUGGUCAUGGUCGGUUAUGUGAUGGUUUGUGUCACCAUAAAAAGCUGAUAUUCAGUCGUGUUUUUUGAUAUUUUUGUUAUUUUGUAAUCGAGUACCUUUUUAAAGGUCUAAUGGCUCCCAUCAGGUGUUGUGUGCAGACGGUGGAAAAAUUCAACGAGUAAACCUAUAUUUAAUCCAAAUUAAAUACUCAUAUUUCUAUGUAAAAUGUCACAUUAUUGAAUAAAUAAAUAAUUAAGAAACAAAA
This is a long non-coding RNA of Diabrotica virgifera virgifera (western corn rootworm), 258 nucleotides long. RefSeq lists it as uncharacterized. The record is from RefSeq and is a predicted model, not a curated record. The transcript is spliced from 2 exons. Lineage: Eukaryota; Metazoa; Arthropoda; Insecta; Coleoptera; Chrysomelidae.